Molecule: ribosomal RNA, 31 nt
Filed under: Citellophilus tesquorum altaicus
Lineage: Eukaryota; Metazoa; Arthropoda; Insecta; Siphonaptera; Ceratophyllidae
Also listed under: 1 other name
Description: partial 28S ribosomal RNA
Source: RNAcentral
GCAGGUGAGACUACCCCCUAAAUUUAAGCAU